This 2287-nucleotide long non-coding RNA is filed under the name Glycine max (soybean). RNAcentral describes it as "long non-coding RNA (GMAX_LNC000450)". Lineage: Eukaryota; Viridiplantae; Streptophyta; Magnoliopsida; Fabales; Fabaceae. The record is from RNAcentral.
UGGGAUUCGGACAGAAACCUACUACCCUCUCCUUUUCCUCUUCCGCCUCCUUUAAAUCCUAUCAGACCUUCAUCCACAAACUAGGACACCAUUUAUUUUUCCCUUAAAACUAUGCCAAAUUAAUGCUGAGAAUUUAUUUUCUUGGUUUCUGAGCUGUUGGUUGGUCUUCCGUUUUCAGGAAAAUAUUUCAGGAACGAUGGUGAACAAUGGAAACAGUGUAGGAUAUAUAAGAGGUAUAUCUGAUUUCUUCCCAUAUUCCAUUUUUUAUGGGUGAAAAUUCUAUAUUGUAAGGCAUUUCUGGAAAUGAAUUAAUUUGAUCAUCAUAAAGAGAUGGUGGUGGCAUUGUUUUUGGUUGCAUAUAUCUGGGGGAGUUGUACCGUUUUGAUUUAAAUUUAUGAGAAUUACUGUGUUGUUUUUAUUGGGUUUCAUUAAUCCUGUGUUGUUUUUAACAUAUUGUUUUAUUGGGUUUCAUCAUUAUAUAUGUCAAUCUAGAGUGUUUCAAGUCAUUCUCCUAUAGUUGUUUUAUAUUCCUCCAUCCUUAUUUUAAUCGUUGUACUCGUCUUAUCUUUUAGCUAGUUUGCUUGCGAGUGGUAUUAUGCAAGUGCAACUUAAUAGGUUGAUAGGGUUUUCAGUUAGGCUUUCCAAUACCAAGACAAAUUCAAUAACAUAGGAAAUAUGUUGCCUUCAUUUUAAUUAUAUGUCUGUAUUUACAAAUCCAUAGGCCAAUGUUUAAUUACCUACAAAGUAUUGACAAAAGUGUAAACUAUUUAAGUACUCCAGGAGUUCAUCUACAGAAUCAACAACUAUGUUCCUGAUUUGUUCAAUGGUUAAAUCACUGGCCACACCCUUGCAUUAGGGUGCACAUCCACAACAGUUGCGGUUUCAUGCUUGGAAGUGAAGGAACUGUCUAGAUGCAAAUCAUGAUGACCAACCCCUAACCUAUUUUGUUGUUGUACCACCAACACAGACCCAUCAAAAGUUGAAUCCGAAGACAUAACAUAUUUGCUAUAUAACCAAGUUCCGGGUACUCAUUCCACUCUGUUAAUCGACUAAACAAUGAAGACUCUCUUUCUUGGCGCCUACCCACCAAAAUCAAAUCAUAGCAACCUUCGAGUGACCUUAUGAUACUGACCAUUCCCUCACUAUCUCUCAAAACUUCCUCUCUGUAAUCAUGGCGUUUGAUUUGGAGGUAGUCAACCAUAAACUUGUGAAUCAAGUCACCAUCAGGGUCUAUGUUGAUCAAUUGUCUACUCUUCUUGUGAGGCUCCAUUAAACGAAGCAUUGUGACCUUCACAUUCGAGUGAUAUGCCAUGUGUAUUGCAUAUGCCAAGGCUUCACGGUCAUCUGGCCCUUCUAUAAACACAAUUCCAACACUGUAGAAGGACACAGAAGUUGAAGGGUUGUUCCUAGUCAAGUUUUCACGCUCAACUAGGAUCCGAACGGAGCAUGGCGCGGUUCGAAGCAAAUGGCGAUUCAAUGCUCUAAUGGGGUAUGCUGAUUCCAUGACCUAAUUUGCUCCCCAUUUCCUGUGAAAUGCCACAAUCAACAUGGCAUGCAUAUUUCGUCGUGCAUGGUCUCAUAAGGGGAAAUGGAUGUGCAGAGUUUCACCAUCACGUUGCCCAUGUUCUGUGAAUGUUUAGAAUGUAACGUGUCCUUGUUCUUGGGUUGAUGAUAUAUUAAAUCUGUCUGCCUUUCAGCUCAACCAGGUGUAGAACAUAUGGAAGCAAAUGGGGUUCUCAAUUGUGGAGUUGGACAUUUCUAGAAAAUUGAUCAUGGGUGGGGUGUUUUCUUCAUAGUGUAUGCAUGCCUUCAAGGGAAGUACAAUAUUGGGAGGAGCAUGCUCAAUGGUCCUCCUUUUAGUUAAGGACAAGUAACUCUUAGAUGGUUCAUACAUAAAUUUCACUAUGGGAUUGGAAGCUGUUGUCAACUAUAUUAAAGCUAUAACAACAUUUGAGCGUAUGACAAUCAUCUAUAAUCUGCAAGACAUGUUCAACUUCAAAUUGGCUAUUAGAAAAAAAAAUGAAAAACUAUGUAGCUAAGUAACUAAUCAUUAAUUAUGUCAUUGCAUCUAUUUAGUUUUUUCUCCUCUGCAAAGCAAAUUAACCAUUUUCACACAGGGUUAUCUAACUUAUCCCAAGUUUAAAAAAAGGAUUAGAAAACCCAUCACACUUGAUUGGUGCAAUUAAUACCUACAAUCAAUAAUCUUAAAGUACAUAGAAGAAUUGCAUAAAUCAGAAGUGAUGGAGUAGUUUAACCCCGUUUUUACUUGAUAUAAGUUAGACAACCC